Loxodonta africana (African savanna elephant) is the source of this 106-nucleotide non-coding RNA. The record is from Rfam. Lineage: Eukaryota; Metazoa; Chordata; Mammalia; Proboscidea; Elephantidae.
GUCUAAGGGCAUACCACCCUGAAUGCACCCGAUCUCAUCUGAUCUCGGAAGUUAAGCAGGGUUGGGCCUGGUUAGCGGAAACCCUUACGGAUUGGUAGUUAAGAGC